UCAAGUGAAGAAGCGCAUACGGUGGAUGCCUUGGCAGUCAGAGGCGAUGAAAGACGUGGUAGCCUGCGAAAAGCUUCGGGGAGUCGGCAAACAGACUGUGAUCCGGAGAUGUCUGAAUGGGGGAACCCAGCCAUCAUAAGAUGGUUAUCUUGUACUGAAUACAUAGGUGCAAGAGGCGAACCAGGGGAACUGAAACAUCUAAGUACCCUGAGGAAAAGAAAUCAACCGAGAUUCCCUUAGUAGUGGCGAGCGAACGGGGACCAGCCCUUAAGUUGUAUUGAGAUUAGCGGAACGUUCUGGAAAGGACGGCCAUAGUGGGUGAUAGCCCUGUACGCGAAAAUCCCUUUGCAAUGAAAUCGAGUAGGACGGGGCACGAGAAACCUUGUCUGAAUAUGGGGGGACCAUCCUCCAAGGCUAAAUACUACUGACUGACCGAUAGUGAACCAGUACCGUGAGGGAAAGGCGAAAAGAACCGCGGAGAGCGGAGUGAAAUAGAUCCUGAAACCGUAUGCGUACAAGCAGUGGGAGCCCACUUUGUUGGGUGACUGCGUACCUUUUGUAUAAUGGGUCAGCGACUUAUUUUCAGUGGCGAGCUUAACCGAAUAGGGGAGGCGUAGCGAAAGCGAGUCUUAAUAGGGCGUCUAGUCGCUGGGAAUAGACCCGAAACCGGGCGAUCUAUCCAUGGGCAGGUUGAAGGUUGGGUAACACUAACUGGAGGACCGAACCGACUACCGUUGAAAAGUUAGCGGAUGACCUGUGGAUCGGAGUGAAAGGCUAAUCAAGCUCGGAGAUAGCUGGUUCUCCUCGAAAGCUAUUUAGGUAGCGCCUCAUGUAUCACUGUAGGGGGUAGAGCACUGUUUCGGCUAGGGGGUCAUCCCGACUUACCAAACCGAUGCAAACUCCGAAUACCUACAAGUGCCGAGCAUGGGAGACACACGGCGGGUGCUAACGUCCGUCGUGAAAAGGGAAACAACCCAGACCGUCAGCUAAGGUCCCAAAGUCAUGGUUAAGUGGGAAACGAUGUGGGAAGGCUUAGACAGCUAGGAGGUUGGCUUAGAAGCAGCCACCCUUUAAAGAAAGCGUAAUAGCUCACUAGUCGAGUCGGCCUGCGCGGAAGAUGUAACGGGGCUCAAACCAUGCACCGAAGCUACGGGUAUCAUCUUAUGAUGAUGCGGUAGAGGAGCGUUCUGUAAGCCUGUGAAGGUGAGUUGAGAAGCUUGCUGGAGGUAUCAGAAGUGCGAAUGCUGACAUGAGUAACGACAAUGGGUGUGAAAAACACCCACGCCGAAAGACCAAGGUUUCCUGCGCAACGUUAAUCGACGCAGGGUUAGUCGGUCCCUAAGGCGAGGCUGAAAAGCGUAGUCGAUGGAAAACAGGUUAAUAUUCCUGUACUUCUGGUUAUUGCGAUGGAGGGACGGAGAAGGCUAGGCCAGCCUGGCGUUGGUAGUCCAGGUUUAAGGUGGUAGGCUGAGAUCUUAGGUAAAUCCGGGAUUUUAAGGCCGAGAGCUGAUGACGAGUGUUCUUUUAGAACAUGAAGUGGUUGAUGCCAUGCUUCCAAGAAAAGCUUCUAAGCUUCAGGUAACCAGGAACCGUACCCCAAACCGACACAGGUGGUUGGGUAGAGAAUACCAAGGCGCUUGAGAGAACUCGGGUGAAGGAACUAGGCAAAAUGGCACCGUAACUUCGGGAGAAGGUGCGCCGGUGAGGGUGAAGCAUUUACUGCGUAAGCCCACGCCGGUCGAAGAUACCAGGCCGCUGCGACUGUUUAUUAAAAACACAGCACUCUGCAAACACGAAAGUGGACGUAUAGGGUGUGACGCCUGCCCGGUGCCGGAAGGUUAAUUGAUGGGGUUAGCGCAAGCGAAGCUCUUGAUCGAAGCCCCGGUAAACGGCGGCCGUAACUAUAACGGUCCUAAGGUAGCGAAAUUCCUUGUCGGGUAAGUUCCGACCUGCACGAAUGGCGUAACGAUGGCGGCGCUGUCUCCACCCGAGACUCAGUGAAAUUGAAAUCGCUGUGAAGAUGCAGUGUAUCCGCGGCUAGACGGAAAGACCCCGUGAACCUUUACUAUAGCUUUGCACUGGACUUUGAAUUUGCUUGUGUAGGAUAGGUGGGAGGCUUUGAAGCGUGGACGCCAGUCUGCGUGGAGCCAACCUUGAAAUACCACCCUGGCAACUUUGAGGUUCUAACUCAGGUCCGUUAUCCGGAUCGAGGACAGUGUAUGGUGGGUAGUUUGACUGGGGCGGUCUCCUCCUAAAGAGUAACGGAGGAGUACGAAGGUGCGCUCAGACCGGUCGGAAAUCGGUCGUAGAGUAUAAAGGCAAAAGCGCGCUUGACUGCGAGACAGACACGUCGAGCAGGUACGAAAGUAGGUCUUAGUGAUCCGGUGGUUCUGUAUGGAAGGGCCAUCGCUCAACGGAUAAAAGGUACUCCGGGGAUAACAGGCUGAUACCGCCCAAGAGUUCAUAUCGACGGCGGUGUUUGGCACCUCGAUGUCGGCUCAUCACAUCCUGGGGCUGAAGCCGGUCCCAAGGGUAUGGCUGUUCGCCAUUUAAAGUGGUACGCGAGCUGGGUUUAGAACGUCGUGAGACAGUUCGGUCCCUAUCUGCCGUGGACGUUUGAGAUUUGAGAGGGGCUGCUCCUAGUACGAGAGGACCGGAGUGGACGAACCUCUGGUGUUCCGGUUGUCACGCCAGUGGCAUUGCCGGGUAGCUAUGUUCGGAAAAGAUAACCGCUGAAAGCAUCUAAGCGGGAAACUUGCCUCAAGAUGAGAUCUCACUGGAACCUUGAGUUCCCUGAAGGGCCGUCGAAGACUACGACGUUGAUAGGUUGGGUGUGUAAGCGCUGUGAGGCGUUGAGCUAACCAAUACUAAUUGCCCGUGAGGCUUGACCAU
This 2892-nucleotide ribosomal RNA is filed under the name Pseudomonas syringae CC1583. RNAcentral's name for it is "bacterial LSU rRNA". It matches the Rfam family "Bacterial large subunit ribosomal RNA". Lineage: Bacteria; Pseudomonadati; Pseudomonadota; Gammaproteobacteria; Pseudomonadales; Pseudomonadaceae. The record is from RNAcentral.